UGGGGAAUAUUGCACAAUGGACGGAAGUCUGAUGCAGCAACGACGCGUGCGGGAUGACGGCCUUCGGGUUGUAAACCGCUUUUUCUCAUGACGAAGUUUUUUGACGGUAGUGGGGGAAGAAGCACCGGCUAACUACGUGCCAGCAGCCGCGGUGAUACGUAGGGUGCGAGCGUUGUCCGGAAUUAUUGGGCGUAAAGAGCUUGUAGGCGGUUUGUCGCGUCGAUAGUGCAAACUCAGUGCUUAACGCUGAGCCUGCUGUUGAUACGGGCAGACUAGAGGAAGGUAGGGGAGAAUGGAAUUCCCGGUGGAGCGGUGGAAUGCGCAGAUAUCGGGAUGAACACCGGUGGCGAAGGCGGUUCUCUGGGCCUUACCUGACGCUGAGAUGCGAAAGCGUGGGGAGCGAACAGG
This 408-nucleotide ribosomal RNA is filed under the name Fusobacteriota bacterium. RNAcentral's name for it is "Fusobacteria bacterium partial 16S ribosomal RNA". It matches the Rfam family "Bacterial small subunit ribosomal RNA", at positions 355 to 776 of the family's 1533-position model. Lineage: Bacteria; Fusobacteriati; Fusobacteriota. The record is from RNAcentral.